RNAcentral lists this long non-coding RNA (320 nucleotides) under Citrus maxima (pomelo). Its description in RNAcentral is "long non-coding RNA (CMAX_LNC003815)". The record is from RNAcentral. Lineage: Eukaryota; Viridiplantae; Streptophyta; Magnoliopsida; Sapindales; Rutaceae.
AUUUCACCUCUCCUUGAUGAUAAAUAUAAAAAUCUAGAGAAUGCAAGUGAGGAAGUGCAAAAUGAUCAAAGAUAAUAAAAAAACUAGGACUUACUAGUUAGCAUCACAACACUAGGUCCUUUACAUGACGAGAACAGAAGAGUUACCUCGAGCUACACUACUCUUCCUGCAACUCAUCCGCGCUGCUCUUCCUGUCCAAGAAUGACUCCAAACAUAAACCUCAACUCUUUUUUUGGUUCCAUUCCAGGAUACGCCACCCUAAAAGCUUCCUGCAGCUGAUUCGAUGGCAGCUCAUGCUGUAGACAACAUUGCAACAAAGG